This 492-nucleotide ribosomal RNA is filed under the name uncultured bacterium. RNAcentral describes it as "partial 16S ribosomal RNA". It matches the Rfam family "Bacterial small subunit ribosomal RNA", at positions 29 to 507 of the family's 1533-position model. The record is from RNAcentral.
AGUGAACGCUGGCGGCAUGCCUAACACAUGCAAGUCGAACGGCAGCACAGUAACAGCGUGCUCUUACGGGUGGCCGGUUGCGUAAGGGUUAGGUAUACAUCGGACUCUUCUUUUUCGAGGGGGGGAACGUAGGGAAACUAAUGCUAAUACCGCACUCGAGCUACGGGUGGGAGCAGGAGAUCCUCCGACCUUGCGCGAUUGCAUGAGCCGUUGUCGGAUUAGUUAGUUGGCGGGGUAAAGGCCCGCCAAGGCGACGAUCGGUAGCUGGGCUGAGAGGAUGAAGAGCGACAGUGGGAGUGAGACACGGCACAGACUCCUACGGGAGGCAGAAGUGGGGAAUAUUGGACAAUGGGCGGAAGCCUGAUCCAGCCAUGCCGCGUGGGUGAAGAAGGCCUUCGGGUGGUAAAGCACUUUUGUUGGGAAAGAAAGGCUGCAGCAUAAUACCCGCCUGUUCUGACGGUACCCGAAGAAUAAGCACCGGCUAACUACGUG